AGCAGCCGCGGUAAUUCCAGCUCCAAUAGCGUAUAUUAAAGUUGUUGCAGUUAAAAAGCUCGUAGUUGAAUUUCGGGAUCAAUCUAUCGGUCGUGCAAUAGUACGUACUGAUUUUAUUGAUUCCUCCCUUCUGAUGAACUGUGAUGUCAUUAAUUUGGUGUCAUAGGGAAUCAGGACUGUUACUUUGAAAAAUUAGAGUGUUUAAAGCAGGCUCACGCUUGAAUACAUUAGCAUGGAAUAACGAAAUAGGACGUUUGAUUCUAUUUUGUUGGUUUCUAGGAUCGACGUAAUGAUUAAUAGGGAUAGUUGGGGGCAUUAGUAUUCAAUUGUCAGAGGUGAAAUUCUUGGAUUUAUUGAAGACUAACUACUGCGAAAGCAUUUGCCAAGGAUGUUUUCAUUAAUCAAGAACGAAAGUUAGGGGAUCGAAGACGAUCAGAUACCGUCGUAGUCUUAACCAUAAACUAUGCCGA
This 470-nucleotide small RNA is filed under the name uncultured Glomus. RNAcentral's name for it is "SSU rRNA". It matches the Rfam family "Eukaryotic small subunit ribosomal RNA", at positions 569 to 1045 of the family's 1831-position model. Lineage: Eukaryota; Fungi; Glomeromycota; Glomeromycetes; Glomerales; Glomeraceae. The record is from RNAcentral.